UUCCCUUCUAAUCCACACUAUGCACAUGACCUAUACCAACCAUCAUAUACCACACAUAGAUAAAAAGAAAAAGGGAGGACUCUACACAGGUUAGUAGUGGCAACGUUUAUAGAAGUCAUCUUCUUCACAAAACAGAACAUCCUAAUAAACCUAGACACACACACCCAUACACCAAAAAACACACAAAUACUCAUAUAGAAACAGACACGGCACCAUAUCCAAAGAGAGAGCUUUCCAUAUAUAGAAAAACUAUAAAAAACAGUCCACCAUUUUUCCGAUAAACCACCGCCCAACACCACCUCAUUUCCCGGUUACCACCUCAGUCACUCCAUCGUCGUAAUGCACCCCUUUCCCCGUUACCGACCCUGUUAUUAAACCAGUGACUACACCACCGGAAAACCCCAAGUUGAACCACCCUAAAACAACCAUAUAAACACUAUGAAAAUACCCGACAACAAGAAGUCUAAACAGAGGGGUUGAGGUUUCUGUCCCUGUUUUAGUUUGAGUUGCGGGUUGGGGUCCGGGUUUCUAGUAGAGGUUGUUUAGUCGAGUUCCGGUCCACGCCCCGUUGACUUUCAAAUUUAGCUCGCCUUUUUCGUCUGUAAUCCAUUGCUGUUGAGAUUUGUUUAUACAGUAAAGAAAGUUUUAGACUACUGAGAUGGGAUGUCCCGGAAGAAAACAAAAAUGUAAAAAUGGUGGUUGCCCGUGGAGAAGACCCGGGAUGUCGGGGAUAGCUUAGUAUAGUUUAGCAUAGUGUAGUUUAGGUUUAUUUUCUCGCAUUUUUCUUUUAUUUCGGGUUGUAAUAAUUCGGACUUUAUUUUCUAACUUUUCUUGUGUGCGUGCUUGUGUGAUUGUUUGAGUUUACUUGAUUGA
This is a long non-coding RNA of Lycium barbarum (goji berry), 873 nucleotides long. RefSeq lists it as uncharacterized. The record is from RefSeq and is a predicted model, not a curated record. NCBI's taxonomy places the organism in Eukaryota, Viridiplantae, Streptophyta, Magnoliopsida, Solanales, Solanaceae. The transcript has 2 exons.